CUUCCUCAGCUUCUCUCCAUGUUCUCUCUUUUCUUUCUUGUUCUCUCUCUUCCUCCUUUCCCUCUCUUCUUCAGAGCCUAGAUUUGCCUACAAGUAGCAGAUAAGGCAAGAACACUCACACAGAGGGAGAGAGGGUGGCAUCCCAUGGAGGACUCCGUGCCACAGCAUGCACUCCUAGACCUUAGGGGAGAGUUUGUUGCAGCCCAGGGGUGACAGCCUGUGUGGGGCAUCUCCGUGGGGGCUGUGUGUGGUGCUCUACGCGUGCCACCCCACUGGGGAAUCCAUAGUGCCACCACCCCCUAGGUGACCACAAGAGGAGGUGACAUCACGACUUCCUGUCUCCAAAUGGGAACUGAAAGCAGCUCUCCUGCCACUCCUUGUCCCCACUGCAGUCUCGCUGUCCCCAAGCUGCUCCUGCCUCAUGGCACCAAUGGCACUGGCCCUCAUCCUGGGACCAGGACCGUGUCCCUUGCAGGUUGGUGUCUGGCGGCAGCGAGCAGGGCACAGCAGCUGCCCCGACCCUCCCUGUCGCUGCAUCCCAGCCAGGGGGUGUCCCUGGGGGACACUGUCACCCUGCGGUGCCACCUGCCCCGGCUGGCUGCCCGGGUUGAGCUCUACCAGGGAGGACGUUGGAGAUCUGUCAUGGACAAGAAGGAGGACAUGGCUGAGUUCUCCUUGGUUAGCACUGAGCAGGAAGAUGCAGGAACAUACCGGUGCAAGUAUCGUGUGUUGGAGCCACCAUGGACUUCAAGGCUGAGUGACCCUGUGGAGCUGGUGAUCACAGGUGAGGUCACUGGGGAAAAUAAGUGCACCAGGGCUGUUUCCUCAGGGCCAUGUCCCAUCGCUCCCCACUCACUGCACACAGAUCGCAUGUUCCCCCCACCUGGUAUUUCCCUGCACCCUGAAAAGCCAGUGAGGAUGGGGACCAACGUCACCAUCCACUGCUGGAACAACUAUAAUGGGAUCACCUUCCUGCACAAGGAUGGGUGCUCAGCCCCUAUCCAGCACCAGGACCCUGACGGUGGGGGCACGGCCACCUUCACCCUCUUUGGGGUGACCCCGGCUGAUGCCGGCUCCUAUAGGUGCUUCUACCGCCCCAAGGGUUUUUACCCCUUUCUUUCCUCACCCCUUGGGAACAAUGUGACACUGGAGAUGGAAUCCGCAUCUGCUCCUCCUGGUAGGUCUGAUCCUCCCAUUUGUGUGUCCCUGAUGUCACCCAUGGGUGGCACUGUCACGACAUCCUGUCCCUAUGGAGGUGGUGGCAGAGGAUGGAGUUCACCCAACACUUGGACCCCACAGGUGCUGAGGGGACGUCCUACAGGAACUUUGUGGUGGCGGUGGUGAGGGGAUGCGCUGCUGCCCUUGUCUUCGCUCUCGGCCUCUACUUCAUCCUCGAUGCCCGCAGCCUCUGGAUACAGAGAGAUGUGAGAUCUGGUGCCCCCCAGUGACAAGAAGGGUCUGACUCACACCGAGCUGCGUGCUGCAACCUGCAGGAUUUGGACACUCUGUGCACCCGUCGUGCCCUAAUCCCCUGUUAUCUGUGCUGAGUCGGGCACUGGCAGCUCUGCUAAUGCACACUUCUACCAUCCCCUCUAAGUGAAUGCAGAGGUGGGCUGUGGA
Numida meleagris (helmeted guineafowl) is the source of this 1620-nucleotide RNA transcript. It is a transcript of the gene named platelet glycoprotein VI-like, with no coding region annotated. NCBI's taxonomy places the organism in Eukaryota, Metazoa, Chordata, Aves, Galliformes, Numididae. The record is from RefSeq and is a predicted model, not a curated record. The transcript has 4 exons.